AGAGUUUGAUCAUGGCUCAGGAUGAAUGCUGGCGGCGCGCCUAACACAUGCAAGUCGAGCGGUAACAGGGGUAAUUUAUUACCUGCUGACGAGCGGCGGACGGCUGAGUAACGCGUGGGAACAUGCCCCAAAGUGAGGAAUAACUGCCCGAAAGGGUGGCUAAUGCCGCAUAUGAUCUUCGGAUUAAAGGAUUUAUCCGCUUUGGGAGUGGCCCGCGUACGAUUAGGUAGUUGGUGAGGUAAAGGCUCACCAAGCCCACGAUCGUUAACUGGUCUGAGAGGAUGAUCAGUCAGACUGGAACUGAGACACGGUCCAGACUCCUACGGGAGGCAGCAGUGAGGAAUCUUCCACAAUGGGCGAAAGCCUGAUGGAGCGACGCCGCGUGCAGGAUGAAGGCCUUCGGGUUGUAAACUGCUUUUAUAAGUGAAGAAUAUGACGGUAACUUAUGAAUAAGCACCGGCUAACUACGUGCCAGCAGCCGCGGUCAUACGUAGGGUGCAAGCAUUAUCCGGAGUGACUGGGCGUAAAGAGUUGCGUAGGUGGACAAGUAAGCGAAUAGUGAAAUGUGGCGGCUCAACCGUACACACUAUUAUUCGAACUGCUUGUCUCGAGAAUGGUAGAGGUAACUGGAAUUUCUAGUGUAGGAGUGAAAUCCGUAGAUAUUAGAAGGAACACCAAUGGCGUAGGCAGGUUACUGGACCAUUUCUGACACUGAGGCACGAAAGCGUGGGGAGCGAACCGGAUUAGAUACCCCGGUAGUCC
RNAcentral lists this ribosomal RNA (762 nucleotides) under uncultured bacterium. RNAcentral describes it as "bacterial SSU rRNA". It matches the Rfam family "Bacterial small subunit ribosomal RNA", at positions 8 to 796 of the family's 1533-position model. The record is from RNAcentral.